GAUUUUGAUUAUUUCCGAAUAAAACCAGCUGUUUCUUGAAUCCACUACCAGUAGUGCAUGGUACUGCAAAGAAUUCACCAUGGUUGGAAAAGUGCUUUCAAAAGGCCUCUGGGCUAAAGUUGUAGGAAGGCACAAGUGAGGUGAAGGCUACAAAAAUAUUUUGAAGGCUUUAGCUAUCCCUAGUACUGUUCAGAGCAUCAUUAAGAAGUGGAAAGCGUAUGGCACCCCCAACACCUUGGGCAGUGGCGGGCCGUCAGAUAUAUAUUUUCCCACAAAUAUGCCGUCCGUCCAAACUGGAUGACUGAGCCAGGAGGACAUUGAUCAGAGAAGCAACCAAGAGGCCAAAGGCAACUUUGAAGGACUUACAAGUUGUUAUGGCUGGGACUGGUUUGUCUGUGAAUGUGACAACAAUCUCACAGGCUUUACACAAAGCUGGCUUGCUGGCAAGGUGGCAAGAAAGAAGCCUUUUCUGAAAAGGUGCCACUGUACAGAUUGUUGUAAAUUUACUUGCAUAAAAAACAGCUCUUAAAUCGUCCAUGUUUCUGAUUGUUGUGGAAAUUGUCAACUACUUAUUCAAACUGCUACAGUCUAUCAUUCUAUCCAUGUCUGGCAUAGAAAGGACAUUUGACAACUAGGCCCUGUCAUAUUGUCUAUUACCCAUCUAUCUUUUUACUUUACCAUAUCUAACGCCUGCUCUGUCUCUUCCUCUAUAUGGGAUAAGUGGUCUGGCGCUGAGCAGCAGGUCUGAACUUCAGCAGGUGCUGGAGAGGAGGAAGAGGGUGCAGACUGACUGGGAAGAGGAGGGAAAGAGCAGGACUCCUCUGGAGGAUGUGCUACUCAGACGUCAACAGAAACAAUUUGAGAGGGAGAAGGAACAAGACGAAAAGGUACGAGGUGAAGCCCAGUUGUUGGAGUUUGUUAAAGUCCGACAGAACCUAAGAAAGAUCCACUCAGCGGUCCAGAACAAGGCUGCAAACACCUGAAGUGCUACAGAAGAAUGCACCCAAAUUGUAAAAUAACUCUUGUCUUUUUCUGAGGUUUUCAGCUCUUACUUCCCUUCAAGUGUAAAAGUAACAACAAGGUGCAUGCUGAAAGACAAAUGCUAUUGAUGGACUUCUUAAAGAUAGACAAAUACAGUAGAACUGUUAUGUAUGUAUUCUUUCAUAGCUGUGUAAAGAAAUGUCAUCUGCCAAUUUGUCAGAUGUAAAAUAUUUAAACAUAUUUUUGCUUGAUAUGGGAGCUGUUAUUUAUCAAUAGUAUGUUGCAGAAAACAACUAUAAUCUCCUUUGACUUGUGAAAUUUGUUAACAUCAUUAUUGUGAAUGCAUGUUAAAGAAUUCUUCAU
Molecule: long non-coding RNA, 1344 nt
Filed under: Cottoperca gobio
Lineage: Eukaryota; Metazoa; Chordata; Actinopteri; Perciformes; Bovichtidae
Description: lncRNA (ENSCGOG00000006485.1)
Source: RNAcentral